GCGGGGGCUCAUAGAGGUCAGGUGGGGCGAGGCCAUUUAAAGACUUGAAAAUGAAUAGGAGGAUUUUAAAAGGAACUUUAAAUUGUGAAGUGAUGCCAGUGUAGGAGUUAUGUGCCCCCUCUUGCGAGUACCAGUCAAGAGGCGAGCAGCAGCAAACUUCAGUCGAGCCUUCAGGUGCCGCUUUUGGGGGGAGGGCUUUCUUCUUGCACGGCAGCCUCUCUGUCCAUGGCGAUGCAAAACACACUUGACUGAGGAAACUGACACCCGUGUUCCAGCAGCUUCUAAUUCUUGGCAGAUCUGCUUUUUGGUGGUUCUCGGUUGACUCUUCAACUUCUGGACCAGUUUUUUCGCAGCAGCAGGUACAGCAGCGGGAAGAGCAGCUCAACACAAUGAAGGAAAACGAAACGGCGGUUCAAGCGGAGGCAAUCGCAUCGCAGCAGGUUUUGUCUCUCAAGAAGAAGCACCUUGAAGAGGCCCAGAAAAAAAAAUGAUUCUGGCUUCAGGAUGGACGUUGAGCGAUUCAUCACAAGACUUGAGGCAAGUCAGGUCAGAGCAGAAGAAAUGAUUAAUGCCUGCAAAACACUGAAGAGCCAGCUGCAGGAGUAU
Hippocampus comes (tiger tail seahorse) is the source of this 606-nucleotide long non-coding RNA. RefSeq lists it as uncharacterized. The transcript is spliced from 3 exons. The record is from RefSeq and is a predicted model, not a curated record. Lineage: Eukaryota; Metazoa; Chordata; Actinopteri; Syngnathiformes; Syngnathidae.